RNAcentral lists this ribosomal RNA (253 nucleotides) under uncultured bacterium. RNAcentral's name for it is "partial 16S ribosomal RNA". It matches the Rfam family "Bacterial small subunit ribosomal RNA", at positions 524 to 776 of the family's 1533-position model. The record is from RNAcentral.
UACAGAGGGUGCGAGCGUUGUCCGGCAUCACUGGGCGUAAAGGGCGCGUAGGUGGCCCGACAAGUCAAUGGUGAAAGUUCGACGCUUAACGUCGAAUCGGCCACUGAUACUGUUGGGCUGGAGCACUGUAGAGGCUCAUGGAAUUCCGGGUGUAGCGGUGGAAUGCGUAGAUAUUGGGAAGAACACCAGCGGCGAAAGCGCGCUACUGGGCCAUUACUGACACUCAUGGACGAAAGCUAGGGGAGCGAAAGGG